RNAcentral lists this ribosomal RNA (442 nucleotides) under uncultured bacterium. RNAcentral describes it as "bacterial SSU rRNA". It matches the Rfam family "Bacterial small subunit ribosomal RNA", at positions 28 to 490 of the family's 1533-position model. The record is from RNAcentral.
GAUGAACGCUGGCGGCGCGCCUAACACAUGCAAGUCGAACGGCACCUAUCUUCGGAUAGAAGCGAGUGGCGAACGGCUGAGUAACACGUGGAGAACCUGCCCCCUCCCCCGGGAUAGCCGCCCGAAAGGACGGGUAAUACCGGAUACCCCGGGGUGCCGCAUGGCACCCCGGCUAAAGCCCCGACGGGAGGGGAUGGCUCCGCGGCCCAUCAGGUAGACGGCGGGGUGACGGCCCACCGUGCCGACAACGGGUAGCCGGGUUGAGAGACCGACCGGCCAGAUUGGGACUGAGACACGGCCCAGACUCCUACGGGAGGCAGCAGUGGGGAAUCUUGCGCAAUGGGGGGAACCCUGACGCAGCGACGCCGCGUGCGGGACGGAGGCCUUCGGGUCGUAAACCGCUUUCAGCAGGGAAGAGUCAAGACUGUACCUGCAGAAGAAG